Molecule: transfer RNA, 72 nt
Filed under: Eubacteriales bacterium
Lineage: Bacteria; Bacillati; Bacillota; Clostridia; Eubacteriales
Description: tRNA-Gln
Rfam family: tRNA
About the family: Transfer RNA (tRNA) molecules are approximately 80 nucleotides in length. Their secondary structure includes four short double-helical elements and three loops (D, anti-codon, and T loops).
Source: RNAcentral
AGGGCCGUCGCCAAGCGGUAAGGCAAGAGGUUUUGAUCCUCUCACUCGUGGGUUCGAGUCCCGCCGGCCCUG